Scatophagus argus is the source of this 605-nucleotide long non-coding RNA. RefSeq lists it as uncharacterized. NCBI's taxonomy places the organism in Eukaryota, Metazoa, Chordata, Actinopteri, Scatophagidae. The transcript is spliced from 3 exons. The record is from RefSeq and is a predicted model, not a curated record.
GACACUAUCCUAAGUAAGGUGAGAAUGACUCUGCUCUCCUCCUACUAGGUCAACAUACCUGUCUAGCAAGUAAAUUUGGCCACUGGCCAGAAUAUGUGUGUAGCACGUAGCUUACUGUAAACCCCACAAUCUGUGCCAGAAAAACAAGAGAGGGAGGGAGGAGUGGAUUUUUACUGCUGUGUUCUCAGUGCAUUGUCACUGGAUAAAGAGUCAUUAUGCCCUUCCCCAUAGUUACUUAUUAAAUUAACCUCUUACACUUUCGUUUUGUGCACACUAUGAAGGAUGAAAUUGUUAUUGUUAUUAACCUUCCAGAGUUGUAAAAUUUUGUCUAUGUAAUCUGGCUCCAGGAAUUUACAUUCAGCGACAUGAUCAUUGGUCUCUCUCCAUCCAGAUCUACAUGUUGAACUGUAUCCGGCCCUCUGACAAACCCAAUGUCUACUGUCAACAUCUGCCCAUCUUGUUCUUCUAUAGUGUUAUUAUAACUAAUUUGAACAACAUAUCAGCUAAAAAACAAAUACAUACAAUACAUAGUCUUCAGAAUUUCCAAUUAUAACAACCUGUCAUGUUUGUCCAUGCAUGUAUGUUUCUCUCUCUCGUCCUUUCUG